CACCGCGGUUAUACGAGAGGCCCAAAUUGAUAGGUACGGCGUAAAGGGUGGUUAAAAUCUUAUUAACCUAGGGCCGAACUCGUCCCCGACUGUUAUACGUUACGGAAUGAAGAAGUACUAAAACGAAAGUAGCUCUAAAUAUUUGAAUCCACGAAAGCUAGGAAA
Molecule: ribosomal RNA, 165 nt
Filed under: Repomucenus virgis
Lineage: Eukaryota; Metazoa; Chordata; Actinopteri; Syngnathiformes; Callionymidae
Description: partial 12S rRNA
Source: RNAcentral